AUCUAGAACAUGGCGAGUGAAAGAAGGCACACAGAGGAGUCCAUAUGGAAUGAUUCAACUUAUGUGAAAUUUAUGAAUAGGCAAAAGUCAAAAUAGCGGUUCCUUCUGGGGGGUUACAGAUGGCUUAGGAGAGCAUGUUUCAUUGUCUUAAGGAGAGUUGAGGGACCAGCUCCGUGGCCAAGUGGUUGAGUUCGUGCCCUCUGCUUCGGUGGCCUGGGGUUUGCCGGUUCAGAUCCUGGGUGCAGACGUGGCACCACUCAUUGGGCCAGGCUGGGGUGGUGUCCCAUAUAGCACAACCAGAAGGACCUGCACCUGGAGUGUACAGCUAAAAAUUUGGGAGCUGGAAAUAUUUGAGUGGUCAAAGUUAUAAAGAGAUGGCUGGGAAGGUGACUGAAAAAUAGAAAGUAGAAAAAAAUAAGCCAAAGCUCCACUUACUGACAGUGACUAAACCUGAAUGAUACUGGAGAAAAAAAAUAAAAUCAUAACAAAGAAGCAGGAAAAAGAAAAAAGAUACUGCCCAUACUAGUCUCUUAGAUCUACCACAUGGGCAGCCGCUAAUGUGUUUUUUGGCGCUGUGGCAUUUCCUGCUCCAGGAAUGCAUAUAAAUGGAAUUAUAUAGUAUGUUGUCUUUCGUGUCUUUUUUUCUUUCAUUCAACACAAUGUUGAAACGCAUCCAUGUUGUGUAUAUCUUGUGUUCCUUCCUUUUUAUGGCUGAAAAGCAUUCUCGUGUGUGGGAAUCAUUACAAAUCAUUCCACCACGUGACUUUUUGUGUCUGGGUCCUCUCACUGACAAGAUCUUGGUGGUGAUGAAGAGCAGAAGGAAUUAGCGCUGAUGCUCGUGGAAAGAACUUGGGAUUCCAGAGUGGGAGAGAGGCAGUAUAUGUUAGGGUCUCGGCAGCAGCCGAAAUGAACUAUUUUGUGGCCAACAAAGUGGUCUGUGUGAGCAUUAAAAUUGGGGCACAGGCGGAGCUGGAAAGCAGGCACUGGAUGCUCUGGAUGCUCUGUAUAAACCAGGGAUGCGGGGAGGGCCCUGCGAGGGGAUCUGGGAGGUGUAUCCGCGCCUGUCUUGGAAGAGCUGGCCUUGCCUCCUGCCUCAGCUAAUUGCUGCUGUUGAGCCUCUUGUUGUUUUUGCUGAAUAGGCUUGUAUUUGGCUCUCUUGAGUUUUGCUCUGUGGUUCUUGAACCAAACCUG
RNAcentral lists this long non-coding RNA (1191 nucleotides) under Equus caballus (horse). Its description in RNAcentral is "divergent-paired related homeobox (ENSECAG00000041268.2)". Lineage: Eukaryota; Metazoa; Chordata; Mammalia; Perissodactyla; Equidae. The record is from RNAcentral.